CAGCAGCAGCCGCGGGAAUACAGAGGGUGCGAGCGUUAAUCGGAUUUACUGGGCGUAAAGCGUGCGUAGGCGGCUUUUUAAGUCGGAUGUGAAAUCCCUGAGCUUAACUUAGGAAUUGCAUUCGAUACUGGGAAGCUAGAGUAUGGGAGAGGAUGGUAGAAUUCCAGGUGUAGCGGUGAAAUGCGUAGAGAUCUGGAGGAAUACCGAUGGCGAAGGCAGCCAUCUGGCCUAAUACUGACGCUGAGGUACGAAAGCAUGGGGAGCAAACAGGAUUAGAGACCCCUGUAGUCCCUGUCUCUUAUAC
RNAcentral lists this ribosomal RNA (304 nucleotides) under uncultured bacterium. RNAcentral's name for it is "partial 16S ribosomal RNA". It matches the Rfam family "Bacterial small subunit ribosomal RNA", at positions 506 to 807 of the family's 1533-position model. The record is from RNAcentral.